UACGGAGGGUGCAAGCGUUAAUCGGAAUUACUGGGCGUAAAGCGCACGCAGGCGGUCUGUCAAGUCGGAUGUGAAAUCCCCGAGCUUAACCUGGGAACUGCAUUCGAAACUGGCAAGCUAGAGUCUGGUAGAGGAGGGUAGAAUUCCAGGUGUAGCGGUGAAAUGCGUAGAGAUCUGGAGGAAUACCGGUGGCGAAGGCGGCCACCUGGACAAAGACUGACGCUCAGGUACGAAAGCGUGGGGAGCAAACAGG
RNAcentral lists this unclassified non-coding RNA (253 nucleotides) under uncultured Enterobacteriaceae bacterium. Its description in RNAcentral is "contains 16S-23S intergenic spacer region". It matches the Rfam family "Bacterial small subunit ribosomal RNA", at positions 524 to 776 of the family's 1533-position model. Lineage: Bacteria; Pseudomonadati; Pseudomonadota; Gammaproteobacteria; Enterobacterales; Enterobacteriaceae. The record is from RNAcentral.